Long non-coding RNA from Chelonia mydas (Green sea turtle), 1819 nucleotides. RefSeq lists it as uncharacterized. The transcript has 2 exons. NCBI's taxonomy places the organism in Eukaryota, Metazoa, Chordata, Testudines, Cheloniidae. The record is from RefSeq and is a predicted model, not a curated record.
CGUCAGCCGGACCGACAUGCACCGCGCCGGCCUGGUUCGGUUGAGAGCGAGCUCCCCCGCCCGCUCCGGCUAUUGUGCUGUGUCAUAACGGCCGAACCACCCACAAGCGAUGGGGGGAGGCCUAAAGCGACCAACGGGACUGUGGAGCCGCUCAUCUGUCCCUGCGGGUGGGGGCGGAAUACAUCAGCGCCCAAUAUGGAACUGACACUUGUGGCGCGGCCUAUUCACCCGGUCCCUGGGGGGUUUGGGGACGCGGCCCCUAGUGACACCCAAUGGAACAGUCUGGAGCGGUCUAUCGAUCCUGAGGGGUGCGCGGAGGAGCAGCCCCUACUGGCACCGAAUGGAAUUGAGUGUGGAGUGGUUCAUCUGCCCCUGGGGAAGAGGGGGGAAGACCAGCCCCCCCAUGGAACUGCUUGGAGCAGCCCCUGCUGCCUGUGGACUGGCCCAUCUGCCCUGGGGGACAUGGUGGGGGCCCAAGGGAGCAGCUAGCGCCAGGCUGUCCUGCCCAGCUCCCCGCCGGGCGAGAGUCGCCCCCCUGGGACGGGGCAGGCCCUGGCUCUCACCCUGCCCCCACCUCCAGGCCUGGCGCCUCACCCGCAGGGGGCAGAGCCCAGCCACCAGCUGCCCUGGGAAGGAGCAGGCCCCUUGCCACGCACAGCCAAGGCUGGGCGCUGGUUGCCAGCCAGGAUCACCCGCAAGGAGGGCGGAUGCUCUGGCCGCGAUGGAUGCCCAGCCAAGAGCAAUGGAGCGCUCCAGCGGAGCGCGAGCACGCUCAGGCCCAGCAUGACGGGCCCCCCGGCGUCGACCAAGUGCCUUGACGGGGUGGCCUAGCCAAAGGCCUGCUUAGAUUGUAAACGCUUUGGGCCUAGCACUCUGAGGCCUUGGGGCCUGGAGGCAUUAUCACAAUACAACCACUAAACUACCGAGCAACAUUUGUUAAAAAAAAAAAAAAAACACAGGCGCUUUGGACCAAGGCCCACAUCAUCUUCUUCCAUCUCUUUGGUUUAUCUGUGUCCAUUAGAGGUAGGGAUGCUAGGUUUUUUGAUGCCUAAAGGAACAUUUUAUGCAGAAACUGCAACAUCAUUUGCUAACAGAACAGAGCUUUUGUACGUUACUCCUGCAGACCAUGCCCAACAAGGACUUGCGGCAAGGGAAGACGUUACUGUGCAGGCAGUUCUGGGAGCUGUCUCCCUUCGCUCGUAGCCAACGCUGUUAAUGGAGCAAGAGAACACACAAUAAACUAGGCAAUAUUUGUUCCAGUGCAGAAAAGGAGAAGCCUGAGGAAGGGUGUGAAGAAUCUCACCUAAUAGGACUGAGUGCCCCGAUUCCUGUUUUACUCCACCUCAAGGCUAAGUGCAGUUAACCAUUAUGGCCAAGAUGAAGCACGAGGCACAGCUAUCACUACGGCUAAGCUAGAGACAAGAUCAUUUCUUCCUACAGUAGCUUUCAGUAUAUUUGUGAUAACUACAUUAUUGCCAUCUAUGUAUUUUCCUAGCAAGAGCCUGAUGUCAAAGAAUUGAGUCUACUGCAUGCUCAAGCAGAAGAAAAGCUGUGUUUAUAAGGAUGAAAGUUCUAAUUCAAAUCAUAUGUCUCCAAUAAGUAUCAAGGUAGAUACAAAGGAAAAUGACAAGCCAAGAUAACGUGUAACUUUUCCUCCCCACAAAAAUAGUUGCUCGAUUGUGAAAGUCACACUUCAAACAUCUUUUAUACCAUUUAUAGGCCUGAAGUGUGUUUAACAUCUAUUGUGGUUUCUUUUAAAAAAAAAAAAAAAAAAAUUCUAUGUAAAUGUAUGAACACAUACUAACACACAAUUAUUUUA